GACGAACGCUGGCGGCGUGCUUAACACAUGCAAGUCGAACGAUGAAGCCUAGCUUGCUAGGUGGAUUAGUGGCGAACGGGUGGGUAAUACGUGAGUAACCUACCUUUAACUCUGGGAUAAGCCCGGGAAACUGGGUCUAAUACCGGAUACGACCAAUCUCCGCAUGGGGUGUUGGUGGAAAGCGUUAUGUAGUGGUUAUAGAUGGGCUCACGGCCUAUCAGCUUGCUGGUGAGGUAACGGCUCACCAAGGCGACGACGGGUAGCCGGCCUGAGAGGGUGACCGGCCACACUGGGACUGAGACACGGCCCAGACUCCUACGGGAGGCAGCAGUGGGGAAUAUUGCACAAUGGGCGCAAGCCUGAUGCAGCGACGCCGCGUGAGGGAUGACGGCCUUCGGGUUGUAAACCUCUGUUAGCAGGGAAGAAGAGAGAUUGACGGUACCUGCAGAGAAAGCGCCGGCUAACUACGUG
This 471-nucleotide ribosomal RNA is filed under the name uncultured bacterium. Its description in RNAcentral is "partial 16S ribosomal RNA". It matches the Rfam family "Bacterial small subunit ribosomal RNA", at positions 28 to 507 of the family's 1533-position model. The record is from RNAcentral.